This 849-nucleotide ribosomal RNA is filed under the name Alternaria geniostomatis. Its description in RNAcentral is "eukaryotic LSU rRNA". It matches the Rfam family "Eukaryotic large subunit ribosomal RNA", at positions 68 to 935 of the family's 3401-position model. Lineage: Eukaryota; Fungi; Ascomycota; Dothideomycetes; Pleosporales; Pleosporaceae. The record is from RNAcentral.
ACAGGGAUUGCCCUAGUAACGGCGAGUGAAGCGGCAACAGCUCAAAUUUGAAAUCUGGCUCUUUUAGAGUCCGAGUUGUAAUUUGCAGAGGGCGCUUUGGCUUUGGCAGCGGUCCAAGUUCCUUGGAACAGGACGUCACAGAGGGUGAGAAUCCCGUACGUGGUCGCUGGCUAUUGCCGUGUAAAGCCCCUUCGACGAGUCGAGUUGUUUGGGAAUGCAGCUCUAAAUGGGAGGUACAUUUCUUCUAAAGCUAAAUAUUGGCCAGAGACCGAUAGCGCACAAGUAGAGUGAUCGAAAGAUGAAAAGCACUUUGGAAAGAGAGUCAAACAGCACGUGAAAUUGUUGAAAGGGAAGCGCUUGCAGCCAGACUUGCUUGCAGUUGCUCAUCCGGGCUUUUGCCCGGUGCACUCUUCUGUAGGCAGGCCAGCAUCAGUUUGGGCGGUAGGAUAAAGGUCUCUGUCACGUACCUCUCUUCGGAGAGGCCUUAUAGGGGAGACGACAUACUACCAGCCUGGACUGAGGUCCGCGCAUCUGCUAGGAUGCUGGCGUAAUGGCUGUAAGCGGCCCGUCUUGAAACACGGACCAAGGAGUCUAACAUCUAUGCGAGUGUUUGGGUGUCAAGCCCGAGCGCGUAAUGAAAGUGAACGGAGGUGGGAACCCGCAAGGGUGCACCAUCGACCGAUCCUGAUGUCUUCGGAAGGAUUUGAGUAAGAGCAUGGCUGUUGGGACCCGAAAGAUGGUGAACUAUGCUUGAAUAGGGUGAAGCCAGAGGAAACUCUGGUGGAGGCUCGCAGCGGUUCUGACGUGCAAAUCGAUCGUCAAAUUUGGGCAUAGGGGCGAAAGACUAAU